Molecule: unclassified non-coding RNA, 223 nt
Filed under: Hevea brasiliensis (rubber tree)
Lineage: Eukaryota; Viridiplantae; Streptophyta; Magnoliopsida; Malpighiales; Euphorbiaceae
Source: RNAcentral
CGUCGUUCUCCUCCGGCACCGCCUUGAAAAGCUCCUUCGGCUGCAACACCUUGUCGACUUCGUACACUAUCAGCGGCUCCGAAUCGAUCAGCGUCGCUGUCACCGUCGCCGUCACAACCUUCGUUUUCACCGUAACGUCCUCGCCAUCGGUCUUGAUGACGAAAUCGUAUUUGGCGCCACCGUCUGUCGCCAGCGUGUUGACGACGCCGUUGUUCGAUUUGAG